This 517-nucleotide ribosomal RNA is filed under the name uncultured bacterium. RNAcentral's name for it is "bacterial SSU rRNA". It matches the Rfam family "Bacterial small subunit ribosomal RNA", at positions 50 to 551 of the family's 1533-position model. The record is from RNAcentral.
UUAGCAUGCAAGUCGAACGGGAUUGGGGCCCUUCGGGGCCUCAUGAGAGUGGCGAACUUUUGAGUAACACGUAGGUGAUCUACCCUUGGGUGGGGAAUAGCCCAUGGAAACAUGGGAUAAUACCGCAUGAGGUCUUUGGGCGUGAAGCCCAUGGAUGAAAGGAGCAAUUGUUCCGCCUGGGGAUGAGCCUGCGGUCCAUUAGCUAGUUGGUGUGGUAAGGGCGCACCAAGGUGACGAUGGAUAGCCGGCCUGAGAGGGUGAACGGUCACACUGGGACUGAGACACGGCCCAGACUCCUACGGGAGGCAGCAGCUAAGAAUCUUCCGCAAUGGGGGAAACCCUGACGGAGCGACGCCGCGUGGGCGAAGAAGGCCGCAAGGUUGUAAAGCCCUUUUCUUGACGAAGAAUAAGGUCAGGAGUGGAACGCCUGGCCGAUGACGUUAGUCGAGGAAGAAGCCCCGGCCAAUUACGUGCCAGCAGCCGCGGUAACACGUAUGGGGCAAGCGUUGUUCGGAAU